GCGAACGCUGGCGGCGUGCCUAACACAUGCAAGUCGAGCGAAGGCAUGAGUGUAACGAUACACUGAUGUACUUAGCGGCGGACGGGUGAGUAACACGUGGAUAAUCUGCCCUGAGGACCGGGACAAGUCUUGGAAACGGGAGCUAAUACCGGAUGUGACCACGAUGUCUGAGGACGUUGAGGUAAAAGGGUGGCCUGCAAGGGCUAUUGCCUUGGGAUGAG
This 221-nucleotide ribosomal RNA is filed under the name uncultured bacterium. RNAcentral's name for it is "partial 16S ribosomal RNA". It matches the Rfam family "Bacterial small subunit ribosomal RNA", at positions 29 to 229 of the family's 1533-position model. The record is from RNAcentral.